Molecule: ribosomal RNA, 254 nt
Filed under: uncultured bacterium
Lineage: Bacteria
Description: partial 16S ribosomal RNA
Rfam family: Bacterial small subunit ribosomal RNA
Source: RNAcentral
UACGUAGGGGUGCGAGCGUUGUCCGGAGUUACUGGGCGUAAAGCGCACGCAGGCGGUCUGCUAAGUUUGGAGUGACAGUUGGUGGCUUAACUGCCAAAGUGCUUCGAAAACUGACAGACUUGAGGGCUUCAGAGGGACACGGAAUUCCGGGUGGAGUGGUGAAAUGCGUAGAGAUCCGGAGGAACACCAAAGGCGAAGGCAGUGUCCUGGGGAGUACCUGACGCUCAGGUGCGAAAGCCAGGGGAGCGAACGGG